RNAcentral lists this ribosomal RNA (253 nucleotides) under uncultured bacterium. RNAcentral's name for it is "partial 16S ribosomal RNA". It matches the Rfam family "Bacterial small subunit ribosomal RNA", at positions 524 to 776 of the family's 1533-position model. The record is from RNAcentral.
UACGAAGGGGGCUAGCGUUGCUCGGAAUCACUGGGCGUAAAGGGUGCGUAGGCGGGUCUUUAAGUCAGGGGUGAAAUCCUGGAGCUCAACUCCAGAACUGCCUUUGAUACUGAGGAUCUUGAGUUCGGGAGAGGUGAGUGGAACUGCGAGUGUAGAGGUGAAAUGCGUAGAGAUCCGGAGGAACACCAGUGGCGAAGGCGACACGCUGGGCCGUACCUGACGCUAAAGCGCGACAGCAUGGGGAGCAAACGGG